This 90-nucleotide transfer RNA is filed under the name Chloroflexota bacterium. Its description in RNAcentral is "Chloroflexi bacterium (groundwater metagenome) tRNA-Ser". It matches the Rfam family "tRNA". From Rfam's summary of the family: Transfer RNA (tRNA) molecules are approximately 80 nucleotides in length. Lineage: Bacteria; Bacillati; Chloroflexota. The record is from RNAcentral.
GGAGGGGUGUCCGAGUGGCCUAUGGUAGCGGUCUUGAAAACCGUUGUCGUUGUAAGACGACCGUGGGUUCGAAUCCCACCCCCUCCGCCA